CCUACGGGGGGCAGCAGUGAGGAAUAUUGGUCAAUGGUCGGGAGACUGAACCAGCCAAGCCGCGUGAGGGAGGAAGGUACAGAGUAUCGUAAACCUCUUUUGUCAGGGAACAAAGACUGGGACGCGUCCCCGGAUGAGUGUACCUGAAGAAAAAGCAUCGGCUAACUCCGUGCCAGCAGCCGCGGUAAUACGGAGGAUGCGAGCGUUAUCCGGAUUUAUUGGGUUUAAAGGGUGCGCAGGCGGUCUGUUAAGUCAGCGGGCAAAGCCCGGGGCUCACCCCCGGCCCGCCGGUGAAACUGGCAGUCUCGAGUUGGAGAGAAGUAUGCGGAAUGCGCGGUGUAGCGGUGAAAUGCAUAGAUAUCGCGCAGAACUCCGAUUGCGAAGGCAGCAUGCCGGCUCCACACUGACGCUGAGGCACGAAAGCGUGGGUAUCGAACAGGAUUAGAUACCCGUGUAGUC
RNAcentral lists this ribosomal RNA (459 nucleotides) under uncultured bacterium. Its description in RNAcentral is "partial 16S ribosomal RNA". It matches the Rfam family "Bacterial small subunit ribosomal RNA", at positions 338 to 795 of the family's 1533-position model. The record is from RNAcentral.